Molecule: non-coding RNA, 46 nt
Filed under: Schistosoma haematobium
Lineage: Eukaryota; Metazoa; Platyhelminthes; Trematoda; Strigeidida; Schistosomatidae
Source: RNAcentral
AUACUGCUGAGGAGUCCCAUACUAGGACGAAACGGCCGUGCAGUGC